Long non-coding RNA from Camelus dromedarius (Arabian camel), 481 nucleotides. RefSeq lists it as uncharacterized. The record is from RefSeq and is a predicted model, not a curated record. The transcript has 3 exons. NCBI's taxonomy places the organism in Eukaryota, Metazoa, Chordata, Mammalia, Artiodactyla, Camelidae.
CCAGAAGAGACUCACUCAAGUUCAUCUGGACUCCCCGAGGAGGCAGACGGGCACAAAGGGCCACUGCUGGUACCAAGGCUCCGGUUCCUCGGAGAGUUCAGCUGGAGAGAAGUCUGCUCUGGGUCCUUUCAUGGUUUCCAAAACUGUUGACUGAAAUACAUGUGCAGCCUAAAAGUUAAGAGUUAUGAUUUAUUUGGCAGGAGGACUUGACCUGGGAUGACAGCCUCUCAGAUCUCUCUGAGGGACUGCUCAGAAGAGGUUGGGGAGGAACUAGGAUAUAUAGGAGCUUUACAACAAAGACCGGGAAGUUGGAACAAUAAAAGAUUGCUUGUUAUCUAAAGAAAGCCAGACUGACUAUGGAUAAUCUGCAACCUUGGAAAGCAACCGAGAUGGAAUUACUGCAGUACGUUUUGGUUACUGAGACCCUCGAAUUCCCAUAUGAAUUGUAGUAGCAGCUAGUCAGUUUUUGCAGAGGAGCCUG